GUAAGAGGGUGAGGGAAAGAAAACCAGGGCAGGUGUGAAAAGGUACAAGUUAACACUGCACAAUUGGGAUUCAGUCUUACUGGGGAUCCCCGGGAGAUGAUGGAGAAUACAUCUCUGAGAGAUUUACUUCACAGGGGUGAAGAAAUUGAGAAGUAUAACUUGUGGAACUCAGAAGAGAAGAAAGUAUUAUGUCAUGAAGUGAAUAAGUGAAGAGAAAUAGACCUAAGAGUAUCCUUUACGUUAUUGGUCUAUUCAAGAUUUUUCACCCUUCCUUGAGCCAAGUUUGAGAAAUUUUACUGUCCUAGAAAUUCAUCAAAUGUGUGGAGACUUUCGAACUUAUUAACAAAUAAUGAUCAUGUCAUCUGGCCAUGAAGCAGUUUUUAAGUAUUCUUCUGGAUCUUAGCUAGCAUUGUACAUUGAACUACUCUACAGAUAAAUCUCUGAUUUAUUUUCAUAACAAAAAGCAGCUCGCAUUCAACAGAGAAGCCACGAAAAGCACACAGAAAAUCCCAAUGGAAAAAAAUCU
RNAcentral lists this long non-coding RNA (526 nucleotides) under Equus asinus (donkey). RNAcentral describes it as "lncRNA (ENSEASG00005032248.1)". Lineage: Eukaryota; Metazoa; Chordata; Mammalia; Perissodactyla; Equidae. The record is from RNAcentral.